UUUUUCAUUGGAGAGUUUGAUCCUGGCUCAGGACGAACGCUGGCGGCGUGCUUAACACAUGCAAGUCGAACGGAAAGGCCCCUUUGGGGGUACUCGAGUGGCGAACGGGUGAGUAACACGUGAGUAACCUGCCCUUGACUUCGGGAUAACUUCAGGAAACUGGGGCUAAUACCGGAUAGGAAUCCUUGCUGCAUGGUGGGGGUUGGAAAGCUUCGGCGGUUUUGGAUGGACUCGCGGCUUAUCAGCUUGUUGGUGGGGUAGUGGCUUACCAAGGC
RNAcentral lists this ribosomal RNA (275 nucleotides) under Cutibacterium avidum. RNAcentral's name for it is "partial 16S ribosomal RNA". It matches the Rfam family "Bacterial small subunit ribosomal RNA", at positions 1 to 274 of the family's 1533-position model. Lineage: Bacteria; Bacillati; Actinomycetota; Actinomycetes; Propionibacteriales; Propionibacteriaceae. The record is from RNAcentral.